UUCCACGUGUAGCGGUGAAAAUGCGUAGAGAUGUGGAGGGAACACCAGUGGCGAAGGGCGACUCUCUGGUCUGUAAACUGACGUGAGGCGCGAAAAGGCGUGGGGAGCGAACAGGAUUAAGAUACCCUGGUAGUCCACGCCGUAAACGAUGAAGUGCUAAAGUGUUUAGAGGGUUUCCGCCCUUUAGUGCUGCAGCAAACGCAUUAAGCACUCCGCCUGGGGAAGUACGGGUCGCAAGACUGAAAACUCAAAGGAAUUGACGGGGGCCCGCACAAGCGGUGGAGCAUGUGGUUUAAUUCGAAGCAACCCGAAGAACCUUACCAGGUCUUGACAUCCUCUGACAACCCUAGAGAUAGGGCUUCCCCUUCGGGGGCAGAGUGACAGGUGGUGCAUGGUUGUCGUCAGCUCGUGUCGUGAGAUGUUGGGUUAAGUCCCGCAACGAGCGCAACCCUUGAUCUUAGUUGCCAGCAUUCAGUUGGGCACUCUAAGGUGACUGCCGGUGACAAACCGGAGGAAGGUGGGGAUGACGUCAAAUCAUCAUGCCCCUUAUGACCUGGGCUACACACGUGCUACAAUGGGCAGAACAAAGGGCAGCGAAGCCGCGAGGCUAAGCCAAUCCCACAAAUCUGUUCUCAGUUCGGAUCGCAGUCUGCAACUCGACUGCGUGAAGCUGGAAUCGCUAGUAAUCGCGGAUCAGCAUGCCGCGGAGAAUACGUUCCCGGGCCUUGUACACAC
Molecule: ribosomal RNA, 735 nt
Filed under: Bacillus sp. (in: firmicutes)
Lineage: Bacteria; Bacillati; Bacillota; Bacilli; Caryophanales; Bacillaceae
Description: bacterial SSU rRNA
Rfam family: Bacterial small subunit ribosomal RNA
Source: RNAcentral